Long non-coding RNA from Oncorhynchus gorbuscha (pink salmon), 2593 nucleotides. RefSeq lists it as uncharacterized. The transcript is spliced from 3 exons. Lineage: Eukaryota; Metazoa; Chordata; Actinopteri; Salmoniformes; Salmonidae. The record is from RefSeq and is a predicted model, not a curated record.
UGAGAUAUCCUGGGCCCUGUCCAUAGCCCCUACCCUCUAGGUCCAUAGCCCCUAACAUCUAGGUCCAUAGCCCCUACCCUCUAGGUCCAUAGCCCCUACCCUCUAGGUCCAUAGCCCCUACCCUCUAGGUCCAUAGCCCCUACCCUCUAGGUCCAUAGCCCCUACCCUCUAGGUCCAUAGCCCCUACCCUCUAGGUCCAUAGCCCCUACCCUCUAGGUCCAUAGCCCCUAACAUCUAGGUCCAUAGCCCCUACCCUCUAGGUCCAUAGCCCCUAACCUCUAGGUCCAUAGCCCCUACCCUCUAGGUCCAUAGCCCCUACCCUCUAGGUCCAUAGCCCCUACCCUCUAGGUCCAUAGCCCCUACCCUCUAGGUCCAUAGCCCCUACCCUCUAGGUCCAUAGCCCCUACCCUCUAGGUCCAUAGCCCCUACCUUCUAGGUCCAUAGCCCCUAUCCUCUAGGUCCUAGCUCCUACACUCUAGGUCCAUAGCCCCUACCCCCUACCCUCUAGCCCUUACCUUCUAGGUCCUACCCUCUAUCCUCUACAUCCUAGCCCCUACCCUCUAGGUCCAUAGCCCUUACCCUCUAGGUCCAUAGACCCAACCCUCUAGGCCCAUAGCCCCUACCCUCUAGGUCCAUAGCCCCUACCCUCUAGGUCCAUAGCCCCUACCCUCUAGGUCCAUAGCCCCUAACCUCUAGGUCCAUAGCCCCUACCCUCUAGGUCCAUAGCCCCUACCCUCUAGGUCCAUAGCCCCUACCCUCUAGAUCCAUAGCCCCUACCCUCUAGGUCCAUAGCCCCUACCCUCUAGGUCCAUAGCCCCUACCCUCUAGGUCCUAGCUCCUACACUCUAGGUCCAUAGCCCCUACCCCCUACCCUCUAGCCCUUACCUUCUAGGCCCUCCCCUCUAUCCUCUAGGUCCAUAGCCCUUACCCUCUAGGUCCAUAGACCCAACCCUCUAGGCCCAUAGCCCCUACUCUCUAGGUCCAUAGCCCCUACCCUCUAGGUCCAUAGCCCCUAACCUCUAGAUCCAUAGCCCCUAACCUCUAGGUCCAUAGCCCCUACCCUCUAGGUCCAUAGCCCCUAACCUCUAGGUCCAUAGCCCCUACCCUCUAGGUCCAUAGCCCCUACCCUCUAGGUCCAUAGCCCCUACCCUCUAGGUCCAUAGCCCCUACCCUCUAGGUCCAUAGCCCCUACCCUCUAGGUCCAUAGAUCCUACCCUCUAGGUCCAUAGCCCCUACCCUCUAGGUCCAUAGCCCCUACCCUCUAGGUCCAUAGCCCCUAACCUCUAGGUCCAUAGCCCCUAACCUCUAGGUCCAUAGCCCCUACCCUCUAGGUCCAUAGCCCCUAACCUCUAGGUCCAUAGCCCCUAACCUCUAGGUCCAUAGCCCUAACCUCUAGGUCCAUAGCCCCUAACCUCUAGGUCCAUAGCCCCUAACCUCUAGGUCCAUAGCCCCUAACCUCUAGGUCCAUAGCCCCUACCCUCUAGGUCCAUAGCCCCUACCCUCUAGGUCCAUAGCCCCUUCCCUCUAGGUCCAUAGCCCCUACCCUCUAGGUCCAUAGCCCCUACCCUCUAGGUCCAUAGCCCCUACCCUCUAGGUCCAUAGCCCCUAACCUCUAGGUCCAUAGCCCCUACCCUCUAGGUCCAUAGAUCCUACCCUCUAGGUCCAUAGCCCCUACACUCUAGGUCCAUAGCCCCUACCCUCUAGGUCCAUAGAUCCUACCCUCUAGGUCCAUAGAUCCUACCCUCUAGGUCCAUAGCCCCUAACCUCUAGGUCCAUAGCCCCUACCCUCUAGGUCCAUAGAUCCUACCCUCUAGGUCCAUAGCCCCUACCCUCUAGGUCCAUAGAUCCUACCCUCUAGGUCCAUAGAUCCUACCCUCUAGGUCCAUAGCCCCUAACCUCUAGGUCCAUAGCCCCUCCAGGUCCAUAGCCCCUCUAGGUCCAUAGCCCCUACCCUCUAGGUCCAUAGCCCCUACCCUCUAGGUCCAUAGCCCCUACCCUCUAGGUCCAUAGCCCCUAACCUCUAGGUCCAUAGCCCCUAACCUCUAGGUCCAUAGCCCCUAACCUCUAGGUCCAUAGCCCCUCUAGGUCCAUAGCCCCUCUAGGUCCAUAGCCCCUACCCUCUAGGUCCAUAGCCCCUAACCUCUAGGUCCAUAGCCCCUAACCUCUAGGUCCAUAGCCCCUACCCUCUAGGUCCAUAGCCCCUCUAGGUCCAUAGCCCCUCUAGGUCCAUAGCCCCUACCCUCUAGGUCCAUAGCCCCUACCCUCUAGGUCCAUAGCCCCUACCCUCUAGGUCCAUAGCCCCUACCCUCUAGGUCCUAGGCACUUCAUGUCGAUCAGUUCAAGUGCCUAGUGGGUAGUGGUUGUAUAGAUCCAAUUAAGUGUAUUGGGAGUAGGGGUCAGAGGUUGAGUAGAUCAGAUUCAGUCUCGGGGUUAGGCCCUAAAGGUUGUUUCUGUACGGGCCCUGCUUACUGUUGAGUGCAUCUUUUAACUUAUUUUAAGUUUUACAUAAUGCCUUUCUCACUUUACCUGUGAGAGCAUGCUUCCUAACACGAUACAGCACUCAUCUCAUUCUAAAGAGUAACAUGUUCCGUUU